CCUACGGGGGGCAGCAGUGGGGAAUAUUGGACAAUGGGGGGAACCCUGAUCCAGCCAUGCCGCGUGUGUGAAGAAGGCCCUCGGGUUGUAAAGCACUUUCAGUGAGGAAGAACGCCUGGUGGUUAAUACCCAUCAGGAAAGACAUCACUCACAGAAGAAGCACCGGCUAACUCCGUGCCAGCAGCCGCGGUAUUACGGAGGGUGCGAGCGUUAAUCGGAAUUACUGGGCGUAAAGCGCGCGUAGGUGGCUUGAUAAGCCGGUUGUGAAAGCCCCGGGCUCAACCUGGGAACGGCAUCCGGAACUGUCAAGCUAGAGUGCAGGAGAGGAAGGUAGAAUUCCCGGUGUAGCGGUGAAAUGCGUAGAGAUCGGGAGGAAUACCAGUGGCGAAGGCGGCCUUCUGGACUGACACUGACACUGAGGUGCGAAAGCGUGGGUAGCAAACAGGAUUAGAUACCCUAGUAGUC
RNAcentral lists this ribosomal RNA (465 nucleotides) under Vreelandella stevensii. RNAcentral's name for it is "partial 16S ribosomal RNA". It matches the Rfam family "Bacterial small subunit ribosomal RNA", at positions 338 to 795 of the family's 1533-position model. Lineage: Bacteria; Pseudomonadati; Pseudomonadota; Gammaproteobacteria; Oceanospirillales; Halomonadaceae. The record is from RNAcentral.